RNAcentral lists this ribosomal RNA (467 nucleotides) under uncultured bacterium. RNAcentral describes it as "partial 16S ribosomal RNA". It matches the Rfam family "Bacterial small subunit ribosomal RNA", at positions 28 to 507 of the family's 1533-position model. The record is from RNAcentral.
GACGAACGCUGGCGGCGUGCUUAACACAUGCAAGUCGAACGGAAAGGCCUCUUUCGGGGGGUACUCGAGUGGCGAACGGGUGAGUAACACGUGAGUAACGUGCCCUUGACUUUGGGAUAACUUCAUGAAACUGGGGCUAAUACCGGACAGAAGCUCCUGUUGCAUGGUGGGGGUUGUAAAGUUUCGGGGGUUGGGUGUUGACUCGCGAGUUAUCCGCUUGUUGGUGGGGUAGUGGGUUCCCAAGGCUUUGCAGGGUCACCGGCCGGAGCGGGUGAACGGCCACAUUGGGACUGAGAGACGGCCCAGACAGCUACGGGCGGGAGCAGUGGGGAAUAUUGCACAAUGAGUGGAAGCCUGAUGCAGCAACGCCGUGUGCGGGAUGACGGACUUCGGAUUGUAAACCGAUUUCGUUAAUGACGAAGCUAUGUGUGACGGUAGUGGGUAAAGAAGCACCGGCUAACUACGUG